This 440-nucleotide ribosomal RNA is filed under the name uncultured bacterium. Its description in RNAcentral is "partial 16S ribosomal RNA". It matches the Rfam family "Bacterial small subunit ribosomal RNA", at positions 338 to 795 of the family's 1533-position model. The record is from RNAcentral.
CCUACGGGAGGCAGCAGUGGGGGAUAUUGCACAAUGGGGGAAACCCUGAUCCAGCGACGCCGCGUGGGUGAAGAAGCGCCUCGGCGCGUAAAGCCCUGUCAGCAGGGAAGAAAAUGACGGUACCUGAAGAAGAAGCCCCGGCUAACUACGUGCCAGCAGCCGCGGUAAUACGUAGGGGGCAAGCGUUAUCCGGAUUUACUGGGUGUAAAGGGGGCGCAGACGGCGAUGCAAGCCAGGGGUGAAAGCCCGGGGCACAACCCCGGGCCUGCACUUGGAACUGCGUGGCGAGAGUACAGGAGGGGCAAGCGGAAUUCCUGGUGUAGCGGUGAAAUGCGUAGAUAUCAGGAGGAACACCAGUGGCGAAGGCGGCCUGCUGGACUGCAACUGACGUUGAGGCCCGAAAGCGUGGGGAGCAAACAGGAUUAGAUACCCGAGUAGUC